This 440-nucleotide ribosomal RNA is filed under the name uncultured bacterium. Its description in RNAcentral is "partial 16S ribosomal RNA". It matches the Rfam family "Bacterial small subunit ribosomal RNA", at positions 338 to 795 of the family's 1533-position model. The record is from RNAcentral.
CCUACGGGGGGCUGCAGUGGGGAAUAUUGCACAAUGGGGGAAACCCUGAUGCAGCGACGCCGCGUGAAGGAAGAAGUAUUUCGGUAUGUAAACUUCUAUCAGCAGGGAAGAAAAUGACGGUACCUGACUAAGAAGCCCCGGCUAACUACGUGCCAGCAGCCGCGGUAAUACGUAGGUGGCAAGCGUUGUCCGGAUUUACUGGGUGUAAAGGGCGUGCAGCCGGAGAGACAAGUCAGAUGUGAAAUCCACGGGCUCAACCCGUGAACUGCAUUUGAAACUGUUUCCCUUGAGUGUCGGAGAGGUAAUCGGAAUUCCGAGUGUAGCGGUGAAAUGCGUAGAUAUUAGGAAGAACACCAGUGGCGAAGGCGGAUUACUGGACGAUAACUGACGGUGAGGCGCGAAAGCGUGGGGAGCAAACAGGAUUAGAUACCCGUGUAGUC